RNAcentral lists this ribosomal RNA (403 nucleotides) under uncultured bacterium. RNAcentral describes it as "bacterial SSU rRNA". It matches the Rfam family "Bacterial small subunit ribosomal RNA", at positions 356 to 776 of the family's 1533-position model. The record is from RNAcentral.
UGGGAAUAUUGCACAAUGGGGGAAACCCUGAUGCAGCAACGCCGCGUGAGUGAAGAAGUCAUUCGUGAUGUAAAGCUCUAUCAGCAGGGAAGAAAAUGACGGUACCUGACUAAGAAGCCCCGGCUAACUACGUGCCAGCAGCCGCGGUAAUACGUAGGGGGCAAGCGUUAUCCGGAUUUACUGGGUGUAAAGGGAGCGUAGACGGCAAUGCAAGCCAGAUGUGAAAGCCCGGGGCUCAACCCCGGGACUGCAUUUGGAACUGUGUAGCUGGAGUGUCGGAGAGGCAGGCGGAAUUCCUAGUGUAGCGGUGAAAUGCGUAGAUAUUAGGAGGAACACCAGUGGCGAAGGCGGCCUGCUGGACGAUAACUGACGUUGAGGCUCGAAAGCGUGGGGAGCAAACAGG